UGAGGGAAAGUUGCAAAGAACUUUGAAGAGAGAGUUCAAGAGUACGUGAAACUGCUCAGAGGCAAACAGGUGGGCCCUCGAAAUCCCGUUGCGGGGGGAUUCAGUCGGGAGGCUAGCAUGGCGGAGCGGGCGACCGACGGGAGUUCCGCGGUGCCCUGCACUGCUCGUGCCGCUCGACGCAUUUCCUCCCGCACAGAGGACGCCGCAGCCGGUUGGGAGUCGGCCAUGAGGAUCCGCUACGGCAGGUGGCGGGGGGCUCGUCCAAGCACGCAGUCCUCCGUUGUUAGCCGGUGGGUCCGAGGCGCGACACCCGACCGAGGAGAAGGAGCCCGAGAGGGCUCCAGCCGUGCACUCGCACAAUGCGAGCGGAGCGGUGGGUCAGGAGUCAGGCUUUGGACGGAGCCACUUUCAAACAGUGGUUCGUUGCGAGGUUACCUCCGUUGUGUCCCACGAGACCGCGGCGAGCGCAAAUGGCUGGCGGCGAGUAGGUCGGUCACCCACCUGACCCGUCUUGAAACACGGACCAAGGAGUCUAACAUGUGCGCGAGUCACGGGGUCUUGAAUAGGCCCAGGGGCGCAAUGAAAGUGAGACCGCCGACCUCCCUCCGGGGUAGGACGGCGGACAAGUCGGGAUCCCCGGUUUCGGCCGGGGCGCACCGACGGCCCGCGUCGUUCCGAUUUAUCGGUGGCGUGGAGUCCGAGCGUACACGUUGGGACCCGAAAGAUGGUGAACUAUGCCCGGGCAGGACGAAGCCAGAGGAAACUCUGGUGGAGGUCCGCAGCGGUUCUGACGUGCAAUCGAUCGUCAGACCUGGG
This 816-nucleotide ribosomal RNA is filed under the name Spermophora sp. Ind90. Its description in RNAcentral is "partial 28S ribosomal RNA". It matches the Rfam family "Eukaryotic large subunit ribosomal RNA", at positions 354 to 915 of the family's 3401-position model. Lineage: Eukaryota; Metazoa; Arthropoda; Arachnida; Araneae; Pholcidae. The record is from RNAcentral.